GCUUAUCACUUUUCCAGCCCAGCUAUCCAUCAUGUGUUUGUUGGACGGAGAACUGAUAAGGG
This is a microRNA precursor of Gadus morhua (Atlantic cod), 62 nucleotides long. Ensembl annotates it as gmo-mir-184-2. Its record names the gene gmo-mir-184-2. Lineage: Eukaryota; Metazoa; Chordata; Actinopteri; Gadiformes; Gadidae. The record is from Ensembl.